Kitasatospora cheerisanensis KCTC 2395 is the source of this 510-nucleotide non-coding RNA. It matches the Rfam family "Saccharopolyspora sRNA 350". The record is from Rfam. NCBI's taxonomy places the organism in Bacteria, Bacillati, Actinomycetota, Actinomycetes, Kitasatosporales, Streptomycetaceae.
UUGACGCUGUAGGGCCAGCGGCGGUCCGCGACGGUGAGCGCCUCGUCGCCGAUGUGGUCGCCGUCGGCGAAGGUGCCGAGCACGGUGGCGUCGCCGUACCGGCCGGUGCCGAUCUUGUCGACCUUGCCGUGCGCGACCAGGUAGACCUCGUCGAUCUCGCGGCCCUGCUCGAUCAGCAACUCGCCCGCCGCGAAGUCCCGUUGGACGAAGCGGCCGGCCAGCUCGGUGAGCAGCUCGUCGUCCUCGAAGCCGCGCAGCACCGGCACCUCGCGCAGCGUGGGCGGCACCACCGCCACCUGGCGGCCGGUCUGCACGAAGGCCACCCGACCCCGGCCGACGGCGUACGACAGCCGCCGGUUGACCCGGUAGGUGCCGCCGGAGACGUCCACCCAGGGCAGGGCGCGGAGCAGCCAGCGGUUGCUGAUCUCCUGCAUCUGCGGGGCGGACUUGGUGGUCGACGCGAGGUUCUUGGCGGCCGCCACCGAGAGGCUGCUCUGCGGCCUCGACUGG